This is a non-coding RNA of Lingula anatina, 45 nucleotides long. The record is from Rfam. NCBI's taxonomy places the organism in Eukaryota, Metazoa, Brachiopoda, Lingulata, Lingulida, Lingulidae.
CAAACAGCCCUUUUCAGGGCUACCCAUUGAUCAAGAAAAGCUAAA